AGCGCAGGGAACGGGUAUGCAGUCAAAGAAAAACGGCGGCCGCAUCCUCUCACGUGUGAAGUAAUGGUCUCCCUCGUCUCUACACACACACGCACAAACCACGGCUCUCCCCCUUUCCUCUCUAGAUGGCGUCGGCUGGGGCCCCUGCUGCUCCGACAUCGCGUCUCUGCGCCGAGCUGGACGCGCUCGAAACAACGUCAUUGCAGCGCCUCCCCAUCGACGAUGCACGUCGUGUGCUUUCUCGGCUCGACGACGUGGACGCGCAACUCUGCCGUAGCGCCGGUGUAGCAGUCCUCAUCUCAGACAGCAGUGAAGGUGCGGUUCCCUGCACUGCCGAGAGAGGUACCAGUCCCUCUGCCCAUGAUUCCUCUAUGGGGACACUAAAGCAACUGCGCUCGACCUUCGCUGCUCAGCUGACCAUCUCCCAGCAAGAUGCACUGAUGCGUGUAUUGUACGCGUGCAUGGCAUCUUGCGCCUCUGGCGUCACGGCACCCACAUCGGAAGCAUCUUGUUGGGCACCGAUUGGAGCACACAAUGCUCACGCGCCUCUCUCACCAGCGGGUGUGCGCCGACUGUACGAGUGGCACGCGGCCCUGCACGAUGCGGCUGGCGAUGGCGCGGUGGUGCGUGCCUUGAUGAGCAGGUGACCGGGCCCUCCCACACACGCACAAAUAUACAUGUGCAUGUAUGCGUGCGUGCGUCGGUGUCCGGGCUGCCACGGUUCUCCUGUGGUUGGGUGCUGCGCCUGCUGUCGGGCAUCUUGUCUCAGCGAUGUCGGCCAAUGCGACUCGAAAACGAUGCGUGAGGGCACGGCAACCGCAAGAUGGCGGCAGGGCGCGUCGACGUGCUGCCUCGAACCCCUCUACUACUGCUACUGCCGACAGCACGGAAACGAGCCACCGCGUCGCUCACACGCACCGGCGUGGGUGACGCCCGGCUGCUCACCGUGCCUGCGCUUUCUAAUUUCUUUUUGCUUUGCGUUCGAGGGGACGAAACCCUUCCUCACGUCAUCACCCCAUCAUCCCACCCCUUCCCCGGCAUCGCUGCGGCUCUGCUCUCGACAGCUCGCGCGCACGCGUACGCACGAUUGCGUGUUGAAGGAUGCCGCACAGAAGCGCAUGCGCUCACUCCACUACGCACACGUGCAGGAAGCGGCACCGUCUCUCUCCCUCUUCCCUCCAUCGACACCCUGCGAUACUGUUUCGUCUGUUCUCUGCGCCUCACUUUCUUCUGAAGCCCUGAUGGGCGGAGGAGGAGGCGGGGCGGGAGCCCAGGCAGCCCUCCCAUGUCCCUGCCACGUGCCGAGCCGCUUCUGGUGGUGACGGGGCCAGGCGCCAACACUGCUGAAAACGACUGAGCGAUGUGCCGCUGGUGGUGUCGGCGGUCAGGUCCUGGACGGCGCUGCGUCGGAGCGACCUGCGACCGUGUGAGCGCGCUUGUGCCAUCCAUGCGAUCAGGCCGAGUGCCAGCGUGUCUCGUCCGGCCCCGACACUGCCUGCUGGUGUGGGGAACGCGAACCCCCCCCGACAGCAGCACCAGGUGCUGACCAGCGUGAUGGGAGCGGCUGCGAGGCGACCUGCGAGACGGUGGCGGGCGGAGAGGUUGAGGCAGGGGCCGCUCACAGAUGGCCGCGUCAGCGCAUGUGGUGCAACGCUUGUGUGCCGCUGCUUGGCACCGCGCGGACGGGGUCUUGCGUGAGGGCUUUGGCUCGUGCUGCGCGGUGGAGCCGUGGACACGCGUGGAUGCAGAACAGAAAUCGAAUCGUGCUUGCGCCUCUCGUCGUCAUGCAUGCACGGAGAAGUCGGCAGCUUUCAGCUUCCCCUCACUUGACCCCUCCCCCUCUCUCUUUCUGCUGCAG
Molecule: unclassified non-coding RNA, 1858 nt
Filed under: Leishmania donovani
Lineage: Eukaryota; Euglenozoa; Kinetoplastea; Trypanosomatida; Trypanosomatidae
Description: gene:LdHU3.05.0340(CDS-product:ARP2/3_complex_16k Da_subunit_putative)
Source: RNAcentral